GGGAGGUAGUGACAAGAAAUAACAAUACGGGGCUUGAAGUCUUGUAAUUGGAAUGAUGGGAAUUUAAACCCCUUCCAGAGUAUCAAUUGGAGGGCAAGUCUGGUGCCAGCAGCCGCGGUAAUUCCAGCUCCAAUAGCGUAUAUUAAACUUGUUGCAGUUAAAAAGCUCGUAGUUGAAUUUCUGCUGCAUCGUGGUUCUUCGCUAUGUCGAGUGAUCUUCGUUGUGGCUUAGUUGGGGCAUGUUUUCAUGACUCGACGUUUACUUUGAGAAAAUUAGAGUGCUUCAAGCAGGCUUUUGCCUUGAAUACUUUAGCAUGGAAUAAUGGAGUAGGACUUUGGUUCUAUUUUGUUGGUUUUAGGAGCCGGAGUAAUGGUUAAUAGGAACAGUUG
Molecule: ribosomal RNA, 389 nt
Filed under: Theileria equi
Lineage: Eukaryota; Apicomplexa; Aconoidasida; Piroplasmida; Theileriidae
Description: SSU rRNA
Rfam family: Eukaryotic small subunit ribosomal RNA
Source: RNAcentral